GCAAGUCGAGCGAGAACGCCUCCUUCGGGAGGUUAGUAAAGCGGCGAACGGGUGAGUAACACGUGAGCGAUCUACCCGACGGCGGGGGAUAACCCAGGGAAACCUGAGCUAAUACCGCAUACAGCACCGGCUUGGAAGCCGGAUGUGAAAGCUGGCCUCUCGAAGAAGCUGGCACCAUCGGAUGAGCUCGCGGCCUAUCAGCUAGUUGGUGGGGUAAUGGCCUACCAAGACGAUGAUGCAUAGCCGACCUGAGAGGGUGAUC
Molecule: ribosomal RNA, 262 nt
Filed under: uncultured bacterium
Lineage: Bacteria
Description: partial 16S ribosomal RNA
Rfam family: Bacterial small subunit ribosomal RNA
Source: RNAcentral